This 438-nucleotide ribosomal RNA is filed under the name uncultured bacterium. RNAcentral describes it as "bacterial SSU rRNA". It matches the Rfam family "Bacterial small subunit ribosomal RNA", at positions 954 to 1392 of the family's 1533-position model. The record is from RNAcentral.
GCAGAACGCGAAGAACCUUACCCACCUUUGACAUGUACGGAAUCCUUUAGAGAUAGAGGAGUGCUCGAAAGAGAGCCGUAACACAGGUGCUGCAUGGCUGUCGUCAGCUCGUGUCGUGAGAUGUUGGGUUAAGUCCCGCAACGAGCGCAACCCUUGCCAUUAGUUGCUACAUUUAGUUGAGCACUCUAAUGGGACUGCCGGUGACAAACCGGAGGAAGGUGGGGAUGACGUCAAGUCCUCAUGGCCCUUAUAGGUGGGGCUACGCACGUCAUACAAUGGCUGGUACAAAGGGUUGCCAACCCGCGAGGGGGAGCUAAUCCCAUAAAGCCAGUCGUAGUCCGGAUCGCAGUCUGCAACUCGACUGCGUGAAGUCGGAAUCGCUAGUAAUCGUGGAUCAGAAUGUCACGGUGAAUACGUUCCCGGGUCUUGUACACACCG